RNAcentral lists this ribosomal RNA (253 nucleotides) under uncultured bacterium. RNAcentral describes it as "partial 16S ribosomal RNA". It matches the Rfam family "Bacterial small subunit ribosomal RNA", at positions 524 to 776 of the family's 1533-position model. The record is from RNAcentral.
UACGGGGGGGGCAAGCGUUGUUCGGAAUUACUGGGCGUAAAGGGCUCGUAGGCGGCCAACUAAGUCAGACGUGAAAUCCCCAGGCUCAACUUGGGAACUGCGUCUGAUACUGGAUGGCUUGAAUUCGGGAGAGGGAUGCAGAAUUCCAGGUGUAGCGGUGAAAUGCGUAGAUAUCUGGAGGAAUACCAGUGGCGAAGGCGGCAUCCUGGACCGAUAUUGACACUGAUGAGCGAAAGCCAGGGGAGCAAACGGG